CGGCUGGCAAGCUUGCUUGCCGAGACGCACAGACAUUGGACGGGGCAACGGGUAUGAGCACGCAGGCGUAUGCGCCGGAGUGCGAAUGCCUGUCAGGAUUGCGGGAGUGCAAUGCACGGAGCAAUCCGC
RNAcentral lists this small RNA (129 nucleotides) under Blautia hydrogenotrophica. Its description in RNAcentral is "Clostridiales-1 RNA". It matches the Rfam family "Clostridiales-1 RNA", at positions 26 to 158 of the family's 166-position model. The record is from RNAcentral. Lineage: Bacteria; Bacillati; Bacillota; Clostridia; Lachnospirales; Lachnospiraceae.